Molecule: long non-coding RNA, 1351 nt
Organism: Centruroides sculpturatus (bark scorpion)
Lineage: Eukaryota; Metazoa; Arthropoda; Arachnida; Scorpiones; Buthidae
Exons: 3
Source: RefSeq, a predicted model, not a curated record
UCUAGUAACAUUUUUUUCAAUCAUUUUUUAUUUUUACUUUUUACGAUAAAACUAUUGUUAUAAAAAUAUGAAAGAUUUGUGAAACGACUUUUAUUGUAGUUACUCAUUUAAACGAAGAGUUCUAGUUUUAUUUUAUUUUUUAUAGAAAGAUUAAAAGUCUUCUUUCGAAUAGGUCUAUUCAUAAGAUAGCAAUAACAGAUGAUGGUACUUGUAGUUUGUAUUCUGAAAGAUUUAUUCUUCUUUCACUGAAAAUUUUCUUGCAAAAAGAAAAUAUUCCAUUAAAGUGCAGUUUUACUCGAUGUCAGACAUUGUAGCUAAAUUGAAAUAAAGACGUAUAAAGGUCCUUAUUUCAUUUUAGCUCAUCAUAUAUUAAGAAUUUAAUAUGUGAAAGCUGAUAUUGCAAAUUUGCAUUUAUACGAAAUAAAUUGCUAGAAAAAAGUUUAUUCGGAUGCGUGAACCCAUUAUGAAAUCGAAUCGCAAUUGUAGAUUGAAAAUUUUGAAAUAUUUGAUUUAAAUUGCACUGUAAUAAGAAAAGUCAACUUUUUCAUUCUGAAAAAAUAAUUCUGAAACUUAUUUCUAUAUCUAUAAAAUAUUAAAAUGUAUAGAAAUUAAAUUUUCGAUCGUAACUUUAUUUUGAAAAUCGAAAUUUUACUAUGACUCGAUAGUACUGUAUAUACAUUUGUUAAAUGUAUCAUACAAAAAUUGACUGUAAAUACGAAAUUUAUAUUCAGUUCAGAUUUUUGAGAUAAAUUCCGCAUUCAGAACAGAACUUUAUAAAGCUUCCUUUAUGUAGGUAGUAAGUGUUUUCAAAGAUAAGAUUUCGAUUCGAAGAUUACACACACAGGUUCAAUUAUUACUACCAGAAAAAAGAAGAAAGUUUUAAGUUAAAAAUUUUGACUUUUAUAUAAAUAAAAUUAAGAACUUUUCGAUUAAAUGUUACAGAAUAAGUUUACGAUAUAAACCAUUACGCGAUAAACAAUCUAAUAUUAAUAUGAUCAGAUCACAUAGUCUAAUUAAAUCUCCACUUCUGUAGAUAUACGAUUAAACUUAAUAAAAUGAAGGAAGGAGAGAUCUUCAUAAUGAAGAAAGUAUAUUGAAAAUCCUAUUUGUCUUUAAUGCUAAACUGAUAGUUAAAUGAACUGUUUAACUGUUCUAGUCCGUCACGAAUCUCCGAUUAUUCAGGCAGAUGGUAAUGUUUAAACAAAGUUUGUAAUUGGUCGAGAUAAAGUAUAAUAAAAUUAGAUGUUUUACGUAUAAAAAUAAAUUGAUAAGAGAGAAAUAAAAAUAUUUUGAAUUUAAUUAAACGAGUAAAUAUUGUAAUCAUAUUUUAAACAGAGCACAUAAAAUAUUA